GCAAGUCGAACGAGAAGCCAUCUUCGGGUGGUGGACAGUGGCGCACGGGUGAGUAACGCGUGGGAACCUGCCCCGAGGUUCGGAAUAACGGCUGGAAACGGCCGCUAAUACCGGAUGUGACCUAUGGGUGAAAGAUUUAUCGCCUUGGGAGGGGCCCGCGUCCGAUUAGCUAGUUGGUGUGGUAACGGCGCACCAAGGCGACGAUCGGUAGCUGGUCUGAGAGGAUGAUC
RNAcentral lists this ribosomal RNA (230 nucleotides) under uncultured bacterium. Its description in RNAcentral is "partial 16S ribosomal RNA". It matches the Rfam family "Bacterial small subunit ribosomal RNA", at positions 57 to 305 of the family's 1533-position model. The record is from RNAcentral.